This 1231-nucleotide unclassified non-coding RNA is filed under the name Hevea brasiliensis (rubber tree). The record is from RNAcentral. Lineage: Eukaryota; Viridiplantae; Streptophyta; Magnoliopsida; Malpighiales; Euphorbiaceae.
GUUUUACCCAAAAAAAUAAAAUAAAAUCUGGUUUGAUGUGCAUAAUUUGUUAUCCCAAAAAUCCUUUUGAGUUGAGAAGGGAAUGGCGAGUCACCUUCCAAGUUCAUCUCUUUGCGUAUGGAGUGAUGUGAGGUUCCUAAAAAGGAAGGUGAAUCUAAGGCCAAUUGUAAGGAACAGCCAUGGAAAACCAUUCCCAGCUGAGGUAUCGAGAACCAUUCUGGAAUUAUCUUCAGUUGGCACUUUAUCCACACCGACCCAAGAUGGUUGGCCUUUAGGUAUUGCUGUACCUUUCGCUGUUGACCCUCAUGGAACUCCUCUACUCUUUCUCAAUCACUCAACUUCCAAUUUCGCUCUCAAUUCCAAGUCUAGCUUCCUUGUUCAGCUACAACAAUAUGGCUUGCGGACUCCACAGUGCACCAUACAGGGGACGCUACAAAAACCCACAGCUUUGAAGAUGCUUCAUUCUCUUUGGGAAAAUAGAUUUGGCCAUCAAGUAGAUGACGAUCGCUUAUUUUUGCUUUCUGUCGAACGGGUACUUCAGAUGGAUGAUUUUGCAGAGGAUGGAAUUUGGGUCACUUCAGAAGAAUAUAAGUCAGCGAACCCUGAUCCUCUUCGAGACUUCGCAGAAAGAAUGAUUGACGAAAUAAAUACUAACAAUAGGGAAGACAUCUUACGGUUUUGCAACAUCUAUCUAGAUUUGGAUUUCCAGGUUUGCGAUGGGAAGAUGCUUUGGGUUGAUAGAUUAGGUUUUGAUGUCCGGUUCAGUUCUCCUCUGAAUGAUGUAUUUGAAGCUCGUAUCCCUUUUCCGAGAGAAGUUACAGAUGAGAAGGGUGCAAAAUCAUCUUUCAACUGCAUGUCUCAAUUUGCUUGGGAAGUAGAAAAGAAUUUCCAUGCAGCAGAUUUUGAAAAGGUGAAACAAGUGAAAAAGAUGGAGCACAGAGGAGUGUGAAGAAUCCUGAUGGUUGUUAUUACAAUGUGGUGGAACAUGUUCCUGACUCCAUUGCUUUUGUUGGUGUUGAAAGACAUAUUUGGUUUCUUUCAGUAGCGUGGAAAAUCAAAAGAGACUAUCGUUUUGGUGUGUGUUGUUUUGCUUCCAACCAUAAAAUCCAUAAGAGUAGUUGUAUGUCAUCUAACCAAUUUUUCCUUUAAUUCCGGAUGACCAGAAUCAAGAUUAUUAUUGAUGUCCGAUUAAUUGUUUUUAUAUACUCUAUUAAAUCAAAGGACAAAUCAU